AUUGAACGCUGGCGGCAGGCCUAACACAUGCAAGUCGAACGCGUGGCGGACGGGUGAGUAAUGUCUGGGAAACUGCCCGAUGGAGGGGGAUAACUACUGGAAACGGUAGCUAAUACCGCAUACCAUCGGAUGUGCCCAGAUGGGAUUAGCUGGUAGGUGGGGUAACGGAUCACCUAGGCGACGAUCCCUAGCUAGUCUGAGAGGAUGACCAGCGACACUGGAACUUGGACACUGUCCAGACUCCUACGAGAGGGAGCAGUGGGGAAUAUUGCACAAUGGUCGGAAGCCUGAUGCAGUCAUGGCGCGUGUAUGAAGAAGGCCUUCGGUGUGGAAAGUACUUUCAGCGGUGAGGCGUUACUCGCAGAAGAAGCACCGGCUAACUCCGUGCCAGCAGCCGCGGUAAUUC
RNAcentral lists this ribosomal RNA (406 nucleotides) under uncultured bacterium. Its description in RNAcentral is "partial 16S ribosomal RNA". It matches the Rfam family "Bacterial small subunit ribosomal RNA", at positions 30 to 526 of the family's 1533-position model. The record is from RNAcentral.